UCCGGCAUGGUCUAGUGGCUAGGAUACCUGGCUCUCACCCAGGAGCCCGGGUUCGAUUCCCGUGUCGGAA
This 70-nucleotide transfer RNA is filed under the name Rhipicephalus sanguineus (brown dog tick). It matches the Rfam family "tRNA". Rfam says of the family: Transfer RNA (tRNA) molecules are approximately 80 nucleotides in length. Their secondary structure includes four short double-helical elements and three loops (D, anti-codon, and T loops). The record is from Rfam by way of RNAcentral. Lineage: Eukaryota; Metazoa; Arthropoda; Arachnida; Ixodida; Ixodidae.